UAGGGAAUAUUGCACAAUGGGCGAAAGCCUGAUGCAGCAACGCCGCGUGCGCGAUGAAGGCCUUCGGGUUGUAAAGCGCUUUUCGGGGAGAAGAGGAAGGACGGUAUCCCCGGAAUAAGGCUCGGCUAACUACGUGCCAGCAGCCGCGGUAAAACGUAGGAGCCAAGCGUUAUCCGAAUUCACUGGGCGUAAAGCGCGUGCAGGCGGCCUGAUAAGUUGGAUGUGAAAUCUCCUGGCUCAACUGGGAGAGGCCGUUCAAGACUGUCAGGCUGGAGGGCGACAGAGGGAGGUGGAAUUCCGGGUGUAGUGGUGAAAUGCGUAGAUAUCCGGAGGAACACCAGAGGCGAAGGUCGACCUCCUGGGUCGUACCUGACGCUGAGAUGCGAAAGCUAGGGGAGCGAACGGGAUUAGAAACCCCGGUAGUCCUAGCCGUAAACGAUGUAGACUGGGUGUUGGCGGGGUAAAAGCCGUCAGCGCCGAAGCCAACGCGAUAAGUCUACCGCCUGGGGACUACGGCCG
This 519-nucleotide ribosomal RNA is filed under the name uncultured Chloroflexota bacterium. RNAcentral's name for it is "bacterial SSU rRNA". It matches the Rfam family "Bacterial small subunit ribosomal RNA", at positions 355 to 888 of the family's 1533-position model. Lineage: Bacteria; Bacillati; Chloroflexota. The record is from RNAcentral.